UUGUUAAGGUAUCAGUGUAUGGCUUUGACUCUGGGCUAGAGUAAUGUCUGUUCUUUUUCCUCUGCACUGAAAGGACUGUUUAUCCUUUUAAGUGUAUCCAGAAAGUCAGCACAUUA
Molecule: small nucleolar RNA, 116 nt
Organism: Molossus molossus (Pallas's mastiff bat)
Lineage: Eukaryota; Metazoa; Chordata; Mammalia; Chiroptera; Molossidae
Product: small nucleolar RNA SNORA22
Exons: 1
Source: RefSeq, a predicted model, not a curated record